RNAcentral lists this ribosomal RNA (450 nucleotides) under uncultured bacterium. RNAcentral's name for it is "partial 16S ribosomal RNA". It matches the Rfam family "Bacterial small subunit ribosomal RNA", at positions 354 to 796 of the family's 1533-position model. The record is from RNAcentral.
GUGGGGAAUUUUGGACAAUGGGCGAAAGCCUGAUCCAGCCAUGCCGCGUGCAGGAUGAAGGCCUUCGGGUUGUAAACUGCUUUUGUACGGAACGAAAAGACUCCUUCUAAUAAAGGGGGUCCAUGACGGUACCGUAAGAAUAAGCACCGGCUAACUACGUGCCAGCAGCCGCGGUAAUACGUAGGGUGCAAGCGUUAAUCGGAAUUACUGGGCGUAAAGCGUGCGCAGGCGGUUAUAUAAGACAGAUGUGAAAUCCCCGGGCUCAACCUGGGAACUGCAUUUGUGACUGUAUAGCUAGAGUACGGUAGAGGGGGAUGGAAUUCCGCGUGUAGCAGUGAAAUGCGUAGAUAUGCAGAGGAACACCGAUGGCGAAGGCAAUCCCCUGGACCUGUACUGACGCUCAUGCACGAAAGCGUGGGGAGCAAACAGGAUUAGAAACCCGGGUAGUCC